Molecule: ribosomal RNA, 465 nt
Filed under: Vreelandella stevensii
Lineage: Bacteria; Pseudomonadati; Pseudomonadota; Gammaproteobacteria; Oceanospirillales; Halomonadaceae
Description: partial 16S ribosomal RNA
Rfam family: Bacterial small subunit ribosomal RNA
Source: RNAcentral
CCUACAGGGGGCAUCAGUGGGGAAUAUUGGACAAUGGGGGGAACCCUGAUCCAGCCAUGCCGCGUGUGUGAAGAAGGCCCUCGGGUUGUAAAGCACUUUCAGUGAGGAAGAACGCCUGGUGGUUAAUACCCAUCAGGAAAGACAUCACUCACAGAAGAAGCACCGGCUAACUCCGUGCCAGCAGCCGCGGUAAUACGGAGGGUGCGAGCGUUAAUCGGAAUUACUGGGCGUAAAGCGCGCGUAGGUGGCUUGAUAAGCCGGUUGUGAAAGCCCCGGGCUCAACCUGGGAACGGCAUCCGGAACUGUCAAGCUAGAGUGCAGGAGAGGAAGGUAGAAUUCCCGGUGUAGCGGUGAAAUGCGUAGAGAUCGGGAGGAAUACCAGUGGCGAAGGCGGCCUUCUGGACUGACACUGACACUGAGGUGCGAAAGCGUGGGUAGCAAACAGGAUUAGAUACCCUAGUAGUC